GAUGAAGAAACGUAGCGAAAUGCGAUACGUAAUGUGAAUUGCAGAAUUCAGUGAAUCAUCGAAUCUUUGAACGCAUAUUGCGCUCUUUGGUAUUCCGAAGAGCAUGCUUGUUUGAGUAUCAGUAAACACCUCAAAAGAUUUUCAUUUUUGAAAUGAUUUUGGACUUGAGCAAUCCCAACACCAGUCUUCACGGAUCGGCGGAGGGUUGCUUGAAAUGCAGGUGCAGCUGGACAUUCUCCUGAGCUAAAAGCAUAUCUAUUUAGUCCCGUCAAACGGAUUAUUACUUUUGCUGCAGCUAACAUAAAGGGAGUUUGACCAUUUUGGCUGACUGAUGCAGGAUUUCACAAGGGUCGGUAAAACGAUUUUUGUAAAACUCGAUCUCAAAUCAAGUAAGACUACCCGCUGAACUUAAGCAUAUCAAUAAGCGGAGGA
This 432-nucleotide unclassified non-coding RNA is filed under the name soil metagenome. RNAcentral's name for it is "partial contains 5.8S ribosomal RNA, internal transcribed spacer 2, and large subunit ribosomal RNA". The stretch from base 1 to 121 matches the Rfam family "5.8S ribosomal RNA", at positions 35 to 154 of the family's 154-position model. The record is from RNAcentral.